AAAGGCAUGGUCCCGACCUUUCUAUCAGCUCUAACUCGACUUACACAUGCAAGUAUCCGCAACCCCGUGAAUACGCCCUUAAUCCCCCACACUGGGGACGAGGAGCGGGCAUCAGGAACAAAUAAUUUGACCCAUGACGCCUGGCCCAGCCACACCCCCAAGGGAAUUCAGCAGUGAUAAACAUUAAGCAAUAAGUGAAAACUUGACUUAAUUAGGGUUAAAAGGGCCGGUAAAAUUCGUGCCAGCAACCGCGGUUAUACGAAUGACCCUAGUUGAUAGCUCAACGGCGUAAAGGGUGGUUAAGGAUAAUAAAAAUAAAAUCAAAUGGCCCCUUGGCUGUUAUACGCUCCUGGAGGUCCGAAGCCCAUGCACGAAAGUAACUUUAAUUUAAUUACCUGAACCCACGAAAGCUAAGAAACAAACUGGGAUUAGAUACCCCACUAUGCUUAGCCGUAAACCAAGACAUUAACAUGUACAAUAAUGUUCGCCAGGGUACUACGAGCACUAGCUUAAAACCCAAAGGACUUGACGGUGCCUUAGACCCCCCUAGAGGAGCCUGUUCUAGAACCGAUAACCCCCGUUAGACCUCACCAUUUCUAGAUGCACCAGCCUAUAUACCGCCGUCGUCAGCUUACCCUGUGAAGGGGCAAAAGUAAGCAAAAGGAGUAGAACCCAAAACGUCAGGUCGAGGUGUAGCCAACGAAAUGGGAAGAAAUGGGCUACAUUUUCUAAUAAUAGAAUACUACGAACACGCAAAUGAAAUAGAACGCUUGAAGGAGGAUUUAGUAGUAAAAAGGAAAUAGAGUGUCCUUUUGAAUCCGGCCCUGAGGCACGUACACACCGCCCGUCACUCUCCCCGAACACUAUGCACACUAAUACAUAACAAAAAAGCACCAACAAGGGGAGGCAAGUCGUAACAAGGUAAGUGUACCGGAAGGUGCACUUGGACAAACCC
RNAcentral lists this non-coding RNA (955 nucleotides) under Amblypharyngodon mola (mola carplet). RNAcentral's name for it is "12S ribosomal RNA". It matches the Rfam family "Bacterial small subunit ribosomal RNA". Lineage: Eukaryota; Metazoa; Chordata; Actinopteri; Cypriniformes; Danionidae. The record is from RNAcentral.